RNAcentral lists this ribosomal RNA (506 nucleotides) under uncultured bacterium. RNAcentral's name for it is "partial 16S ribosomal RNA". It matches the Rfam family "Bacterial small subunit ribosomal RNA", at positions 29 to 523 of the family's 1533-position model. The record is from RNAcentral.
AGUGAACGCUGGCGGUAGGCCUAACACAUGCAAGUCGAACGGCAGCACAGGAGAGCUUGCUCUCUGGGUGGCGAGUGGCGGACGGGUGAGGAAUACAUCGGAAUCUACUCUGUCGUGGGGGAUAACGUAGGGGAACUUACGCUAAUACCGCAUACGACCUACGGGUGAAAGCAGGGGACCUUCGGGCCUUGCGCGAUUGAAUGAGCCGAUGUCGGAUUAGCUAGUUGGCGGGGUAAAGGCCCACCAAGGCGACGAUCCGUAGCUGGUCCGAGAGGAUGAUCAGCCACACUGGAACUGAGACACGGUCCAGACUCCUACGGGAUGCAGCAGUGGGGAAUAUUGGACAAUGGGCGCAAGCCUGAUCCAGCCAUACCGCGUGGGUGAAGAAGGCCUUCGGGUUGUAAAGCCCUUUUGUUGGGAAAGAAAUCCAGCUGGCUAAUACCCGGUUGGGAUGACGGUACCCAAAGAAUAAGCACCGGCUAACUUCGUGCCAGCCGCCGCGGUAA